RNAcentral lists this long non-coding RNA (2490 nucleotides) under Pocillopora damicornis (cauliflower coral). RNAcentral describes it as "uncharacterized LOC113671476". The record is from RNAcentral. Lineage: Eukaryota; Metazoa; Cnidaria; Anthozoa; Scleractinia; Pocilloporidae.
UAGCCAAACGGUUUGUGUUUUACCAAAAAAAAAAAAAAAGAAAAACAACGAGGAGUACCCACACAGUAUCUCUUCUAUACGCAGAUGACAUUGAAACAAAGCUGUUGAUGUUCCAGAUGAUUGGUCUAUAAACAACUUCCCUCUUGCAGCCUCACUCACUGUUCAAAAACCCCUGCGGCAGCGCCCACCAAGAGCUUCAAUUAUUAUAUUUUGCAAAAUAUCUCUGUAAAUUGAUCCUCUUUAUGUGUAGUUAAUCAACGGUUCUGAGGAAUACACGAGAUUUUAAUAAAAUACUCACAAUCUCCAAGCGGAUACGGAUAGGCUGAUUACAACCUCAGUAUUUGAUGACAAAAUAUAAAGAUACUGAAUCAAAUUAAAUACUGCUUCAAAUGUUCAUAAUUGUGGAAAGUUGUUUAUCAUGGUUACGUCGAGGUCUGAAAUUUUCCUACGUCAUUAUUGAAAUACAGGAUGGAAUGCUUCCUAUGAGGCAAAAAAAUUAAAGCGUUAGUUCACUAUCACUGGGUUACAGAUGUUGAUAGACUGAGCCCGGGAGUUUUCUGAUAACGUGAAUGACGUCAUGCUUUGUUACGAGUUCUCUAACAACGUAAAGACGCAUUCCUGCUUAGAGAUAAGACUGGAGUUGUUUUCGUUUAACAGAUGGAAGUGGAACUAAAACAAACAAUGCAAAUUUCAAGUUCAGCUGCGCUGAGUGGGCACAAUGAGUUGUUUACAUACGUGAACCGUUGAUUUCGUGACGUGAGCAGAAAACCCCCUUGAGAGAAUAACCGUAGCGUGAUGGAAUAGAAAGAAUGUCAGUUUGACUGAAGAUCCUGUUGUAUGACACUUUUUUGAGGUUUAAAACACGAAGUAAAUCGAGGCAAUUGGGACAUAUCAGCUGAGGGUAUCUUGAAACUGUCUAGGAGAAGCUGACCGUUGGAGCUUUGCUGAGCCGUAUUCCUGAAUAGAUAGAGGAAGACUGUGUCUGGAUUUUAUUCUUUUGCUGAUUAAGGUAAUUAAAGAGCAUGAACGCCCGACUUAAAGCCAAGAUAUCAAAUCGACGGAGCUUUGUGGAAAGGAAGAAAGCUGUUUGCGAUGAGACAAGAUUUCUUAUAAUCUCUGGAAACAGUCCCGAGGCCGCUGAACAGAAACAACUAUUUGAUCCAAGUUGCUUGAGCUCGAUGGUUCUAGAUCUUCAGUCUGUGAAAGGCUCAAGCUCAAUUGUACAGAAUCAGUGUUUUGCAACAACUCGAGCGCCGACUGAAGUGAAGUGUAAACCAGGAUCUCGUGACACAUGCGGCAGUUAUCCGCAUGUCCUUGCAGCUGUUAGUGGCGAAGUAAAGUGUUGGCUUCCAAGCCCGUUACUGAUGAAGCGUCGAAACGCGAUUUGCGAUGAGAUCGAAAAAAGAACAAUAGCUAUGUCGGGUAGAACUUUAAGGCAAAAGAGAGUUGAUAUGCUUCGCUCCAUUGCGCUGACACAAUUCUCUUUGUUAUGAAUAUUUUUCUACUAAUUCAAUGUCAAAGAUUCAUCAAUUUCGCUUUUAUGUUUCAUGUUAUACAAAAUUCUUAGUCUGAAGCAUAACUUGCACUAGAAAAAGUGUUGAGAUCGAUUUUGCGUAUACGCUCUCUAUUCAACUCCCUCCAAAAAAUUAAGACAAUCCUAGUUCAUAAUCCCUUAACUAUACGGAUUUCAGUUUACAAGGUAGACGUGCAGGGCGGUUACUUUACAUAAGGAUUCUUAAGGCCCCUGUCUUCUAGAAAAUACGUUUUUAAUUCAAACAAUGUAUCUCAGCAAAAUUUGUUCCGACCUGUAAUAAUAUGUAAUUGACUAAUACAAGUUACAUUAUCAUUGUUUAUAAUAUCCAGUGUUGUUACCAAACGGGAUGAAUCAAAGCUCUUCAGUGGAAGUCGGGUGAUUUUUCAAACAGCAUUCUCUAAAUUUCGUGUCUUAACUCGAUGAAUUCCCUAGGAGUUGAAAAAUGCUGGAAAAAUCGAUCUGUAUUUUGUUUGGGUGUAAAUGAUCAUCUUUGACCUCUUUGGCGUCAAUCACAAUGCCGUGGGCAGUUUAACUGAUACAGUAAUGGUGACUCAUUGACCAAAACCGAAAAUAUGUGAAUUUUGAUAAAAGAACCGAAUACUGGUAUUGAAAAGUAAUUUGAUUUGCCGUGUGAUAGAGAAAGUAUUCCUCAAAGGCGAUUAAACCUCCAGCGUGGUGUGGCUGUACAAUAGUGUUAUUAGGUUUGCAAUACGUACAUAUUCAAGCACAACUAUUCUCAAAGCCCUUUAGAGUUGAUGCAAUCAAUGCUACGCGAUGAAUUCACCCUUAUGUAGCAGAUUAAAAGCUGUGAUUUGAUUAAAAGCGGUUUGGAUUUACGGGGGCAACCCAGCGUCUAAUAAAAAUUUAUAAUUAUACGUGAUUUGAAUGAAUACACAGAUAAAUACUACGAAAUCACCACUUUCGGAGAGUAAUACAUAUUAAAUGUCUCAGGAUCA